GUCCAUAGUCCAGCUGUAGUGUAUCAGUUGAAUUGCAGUGGGAGAAAACGGCGAUCAAUGACAAUCUGCAUGCUACUACACAAUAGAAGAUGCAUGUCGCUUCUUUUUGUUGAAGUUGUCGAGCACUGUAACAAUAAAUUGACACGAGAUUGGCAGGAAUUACCGUUGAAAAUGAGCAUUAUAGAUUGACAGGUCAAGCCUCGUCUACACUUCCUGACACAGGGACACAGUUGAGCUCCUUCAAAUUUCUAUGUUGUUGCUGCUACUUUCCACUAUGUUUGUAAAUAGCUUAAUGGUGAAAUAAAAGAUGAACCAAUGAAC
This is a long non-coding RNA of Hypanus sabinus (Atlantic stingray), 321 nucleotides long. RefSeq lists it as uncharacterized. The record is from RefSeq and is a predicted model, not a curated record. The transcript is spliced from 3 exons. Lineage: Eukaryota; Metazoa; Chordata; Chondrichthyes; Myliobatiformes; Dasyatidae.